UACAGAGGUGGCAAGCGUUGUUCGGAAUUACUGGGCGUAAAGGGCGCGUAGGCGGCCCGUCAAGUCCCGUGUGAAAGCCCCCGGCUCAACCGGGGAACGGCGCGGGAAACUAGCAGGCUUGAGUUCGGGAGAGGGAAGCGGAAUUCCGGGUGUAGCGGUGAAAUGCGCAGAUAUCCGGAGGAACACCGGUGGCGAAGGCGGGUCUCUGGGCCGAUACUGACGCUGAGGAGCGAAAGCAUGGGGAGCGAACAGG
RNAcentral lists this ribosomal RNA (253 nucleotides) under uncultured bacterium. RNAcentral's name for it is "partial 16S ribosomal RNA". It matches the Rfam family "Bacterial small subunit ribosomal RNA", at positions 524 to 776 of the family's 1533-position model. The record is from RNAcentral.